Molecule: long non-coding RNA, 456 nt
Organism: Ornithodoros turicata
Lineage: Eukaryota; Metazoa; Arthropoda; Arachnida; Ixodida; Argasidae
Exons: 3
Source: RefSeq, a predicted model, not a curated record
GCCGCGUCCAAACUAGUCAAAAAGCUAGAUCGGCUCCUAAGCAAGGUGCAGGUGCAUGGAGAUGCUUCACUAUCCGGUGAGUGGUGUGGGCCAACGGUGACAUCCUAGCUUAAAAAGUCUCAGGGUGUGGGUUGGAUUCCCACCGCUGGCUACCCUUUUCGAUUCCUGCUUUCUGUUAAUUGGAUUACUGUUCCUCACGUCAGCAACCACCACUUGGCAGUUGUCAUUCAUACUUUGUUUGGAGGACCUAGGAAAUGGUGUCCUCAUCAACAGGGAUGUCCUUGGCCGUCUGCACAGUACAUUUAAGAAUUAUGCAUGCAAAUACGCACGCAAUCUCACUCGUGCCCUAUUUCAUACUGAGGAAUUGAAGAAUAGGUCGCUGUAUGGAAGGAAGUCUAAUGUAAAGAAGGAAGCAGAAGUCAAGCUCGCACUAGACGGCACACGGCUAGAGGCUAU